This 587-nucleotide ribosomal RNA is filed under the name uncultured Bacillus sp. RNAcentral describes it as "bacterial SSU rRNA". It matches the Rfam family "Bacterial small subunit ribosomal RNA", at positions 338 to 918 of the family's 1533-position model. The record is from RNAcentral. Lineage: Bacteria; Bacillati; Bacillota; Bacilli; Caryophanales; Bacillaceae.
CCUACGGGAGGCAGCAGUGGGGAAUCUUCCGCAAUGGACGAAAGUCUGAUCGAGCAACGCCGCGUGAGUGAUGAAGGCUUUUUGGUCGUAAAACUCUGUUGUUAAGGAAGAAGCUAUUUAAAAGUAACUGCUCGGACCUUGAACGUACCUAACCAAAAAGCCACGGCUAACUACGUGCCAGCAGCCGCGGUAAUACGUAAGUGGCAAGCGUUAUCCGGAAUUAUUGGGCGUAAAGCGCGCGCAGGCGGUUUCUUUUGUCUGAUGUGAAAGCCCACGGAUCUUCCGUGGAGGGUGUUGGAAACUGGGAACUUGAGUGCUGGGAGAAAAUGGGAAUUCCCCGUGUGUCGGUGAAAUGCGUAUAGAUGUGUAGGAACACCCCUGGGGAAAGCGGCUUUUUGGGCUGUAACUGAGACUGAGGCGCGAAAGCGUGUGGAGCAAACACGAUUAUAUACCCUGUGAUUCCCCGCCGUAAACGAUGAGUGCUAAAUGUUAGAGGGUUUCCGCCCUUUAGUGCUGCAGCUAACGCAUUAAGCACUCCGCCUGGGGGAGUACGGUCGCAAGACUGAAACUCUCAUGAAUUGACGGGG